UGCUGGGUGUGGACUGCUUAAAACCUCAGACUAGACCCAUAAAUUCCAAAGCGGGCCUGAGAACGUCCUGAAAUUCUCUUCCCAAGUCAGGGCUGAUGUUAUUUCAAAGAAAAGCAAAUCAACUUUCAAAACUCUUAACUCUGCAAGGUUUUGGGGGAGCCAUUGAAACUCGGAGGAGCCGAAGGACAAAGGCACCCUGGUCCCCUUACAUCUUGGAACAACUACUCCAGCUGCAGCAGGACGGGGCUGGUGGACACUGGAAGGGCAAGGAAAGCUCUGUUGUCAACCAAAGUACAGCGCGGAGGGGCGGGGGACCGGUGGCUGAAAGGUUAGAAAAGAAGGAACCCUGAUCUACAGCCGGC
Molecule: long non-coding RNA, 362 nt
Filed under: Fukomys damarensis (Damara mole-rat)
Lineage: Eukaryota; Metazoa; Chordata; Mammalia; Rodentia; Bathyergidae
Description: lncRNA (ENSFDAG00000033421.1)
Source: RNAcentral